This 497-nucleotide ribosomal RNA is filed under the name uncultured bacterium. RNAcentral's name for it is "partial 16S ribosomal RNA". It matches the Rfam family "Bacterial small subunit ribosomal RNA", at positions 28 to 507 of the family's 1533-position model. The record is from RNAcentral.
GACGAACGCUGGCGGCGUGCCUAAUACAUGCAAGUAGAACGCUGAAACUUGGUGCUUGCACCGAGCGGAUGAGUUGCGAACGGGUGAGUAACGCGUAGGUAACCUGCCUGGUAGCGGGGGAUAACUAUUGGAAACGAUAGCUAAUACCGCAUAAGAGUAGAUGUUGCAUGACAUUUGCUUAAAAGGUGCAAUUGCACCACUACCAGAUGGACCUGCGUUGUAUUAGCUAGUUGGUGGGGUAACGGCUCACCAAGGCGACGAUACAUAGCCGACCUGAGAGGGGGGUCGGCCACACUGGGACGGAGACACGGCCCAGACGCCUGCGGGAGGCAGCAGACGGGAAUCUUCGGCAAUGGACGGAAGUCUGACCGAGCAAGGCCGCGUGAGUGACGAAGGUUUUCGGAUCGUAAAGCUCUGUUGUAAGAGAAGAACGAGUGUGAGAGUGGAAAGUUCACACUGUGACGGUAUCUUACCAGAAAGGGACGGCUAACUACGUG